AAGGAAGUGGCAGAGUGGUCAUGCAGUUGGCUUGAAACCAUCUUACGGGGGUUCGAUUCCUCCCUUUCUCG
RNAcentral lists this transfer RNA (71 nucleotides) under Tenualosa thibaudeaui (Mekong herring). Its description in RNAcentral is "tRNA-Ser (UCN)". It matches the Rfam family "tRNA". From Rfam's summary of the family: Transfer RNA (tRNA) molecules are approximately 80 nucleotides in length. Their secondary structure includes four short double-helical elements and three loops (D, anti-codon, and T loops). Further hydrogen bonds mediate the characteristic L-shaped molecular structure. tRNAs have two regions of fundamental functional importance: the anti-codon, which is responsible for specific mRNA codon recognition, and the 3' end, to which the tRNAs corresponding amino acid is attached (by aminoacyl-tRNA synthetases). tRNAs cope with the degeneracy of the genetic code in two manners: having more than one tRNA (with a specific anti-codon) for a particular amino acid; and 'wobble' base-pairing, i.e. permitting non-standard base-pairing at the 3rd anti-codon position. Lineage: Eukaryota; Metazoa; Chordata; Actinopteri; Clupeiformes; Clupeidae. The record is from RNAcentral.